This 253-nucleotide ribosomal RNA is filed under the name uncultured bacterium. RNAcentral describes it as "partial 16S ribosomal RNA". It matches the Rfam family "Bacterial small subunit ribosomal RNA", at positions 524 to 776 of the family's 1533-position model. The record is from RNAcentral.
UACGUAGGGGGCUAGCGUUGUCCGGAAUCAUUGGGCGUAAAGCGCGCGUAGGCGGCCAGAUAAGUCCGGUGUGAAAGUCACAGGCUCAACCUGUGAAUGCCGCUGGAAACUGUCUGGCUUGAGUCCGGAAGGGGCGAGUGGAAUUCCUGGUGUAGCGGUGAAAUGCGCAGAUAUCAGGAGGAACACCUAUGGCGAAGGCAGCUCGCUGGGACGUUACUGACGCUGAGACGCGAAAGCGUGGGGAGCAAACAGG